UAUCUUUUUUUUUUUUUUUUUUUAGUAUUUUUUUUUUUUUUUUUAGGAUUUAGUAGGAUUAAUUAUUGUACUAUAAAUUUCAAGGUAUUUUUGGUAGACCUUUUCUAUGAUUGACAAUUGAUUAACGCUUCCUUAGUGUUUUUUUGUUUUUUUUUUUUUUAGGGAUUUAGUAGGAUAAAUUAUUCUACUAUAAAUUUCAAGGAAUUUUGGCAGACCUUUUCGAUGAUUGACAAUUGAUUACAUAAUUAAAAAAAUUGAGAAUUUGUUUCUCUUCCCCAUUUGUUCUAUUGGUUCUACAUCAAUAUGAAACAACACAUCGAAUCUAGUGGUAGCUACCAAAUACUUAUAGCGGCUCAUUGUCCAACAACUAACUACUACUCAUCAAAAGCUUAACCUAAUGGACACAUAUCAUGCAACAAGAAAGAUAGAAAACAAAUAUUAUGCAACAAGAAUGAGAGAAAACAAAUAUUUUAAAAUUUGAAAGAUAUUUUUGAAUGGUUUUAACUAGUAGAAAAUGAUUUCAAAUACAAUGUUAUACUGAAAGUAUAAGAAAUUUGAAUGGUGACCCAUUAAAAAUAAUAGUAAUAAUAAUAAAAAAAAAAUCAGCAUGCUGAUGGUAGUGUCGUUCAAGAGAGGUUCCCAUGUAAUCUUGUUGUUUACCCCUUUUUGUUGUUUACCCAUAUGGUACAAGGGAGCAUUAUGGCUUAAAACUUAUGAUUUCUUCCCUAAUCCCUACCAUCGCAACCACUAGAGCUUAGCCCAGGCGACAGAAGUUAUCCAGGCAAUAUAACAACCCAGUGGCAAGCAAAUAAGCAAUAAAUUCAAAUAGAAACAUGAAAUCAAUGCAGAAGAGAUGAUCACACAGGCAAUGUCUUGAAGAACAUGCUGACAUCGACAUCAAUACUACGCACUUAGUCAAUCAACGAUUUUUUUACAGUGAGGCAAGCAAACAAGUUAUACCUGCAUUGGCACAUAGAAAAAUGAGGGAAACUGAAGUACCUGUUAGGUGAAUCUGAAGUAUCAACAUCAUCAACAUCAAAAGGACAUGAGAAGUCACCAUCAUCUAGGUCAUCUUGGAAAGAUAAUCUACUAGAACUUCUUGAAAAUCCAAUAUGUGGUGAGCCACUAGAAGAUAACAGUCCAGAGAAGCGUCCAGAAUCAUCUUUGCCAUCUUUGAGAAUCUUGUGACCAGAAUAAUGACUCGCUAUGCCAGAGUUUAACUCUCCAGCCCUCAAAGCUUCUGGUUUCCUAAUUGAACGGAUUCCAGAUGGAGACUCCUGUGAUGAAGGAUCAUGUCUCGUGCUUUUAGGAGAUAAAGGUGGAAGUGAAUUUUUACUUGGGUCAGAAAAGUUUGGAGAAAGGUAUCUAGAACUUCUACCUGACUUUGGAAAGGGGAUAGUUACAGGGGCAGUUUCUGAAGUAAUACGAGUUUGCAAAGGACUACCACUGGAGAAGUAUGUCGGAGUGGAAGGAGACAUAGAUGGUGAGAAUGGAGGUGAAAGCUCAUACUCAUCAUUACCAGUAGCCCUUUGGUGAGUUGGUGGUCUACAGCUUUGUAUUCUGUGACCAUAAGUACCUGAUGGAGUAUGUGGAAAAUUAUAUGGCAUGGGAGAUGUUCGGUAUGCAGGAGGAGAUCCACCAAGGGAUUGGUUUGCCAUAAAAGGGGCAGCUCUGUGAAAGCCACUUGUCCAGCUAUGUGGGCGUUGAAAAGGAGUAGAAAUAAGCGGCCGUAUUCCCUUCAGUGGAAAGGAUGUAGCACGAUCUCCCCUAUCUGAAGAAGGAAAAGACCUCAGAGGGUCAGUGGUAGGGCUACCAACAUAAUCUGUUAUAAUCUUGGGUGGGAAUGUUGCCAAAGGCUCAAGGUUAAAAUCAGAUAGUGAUGGACGGAAAGUCACAGAUAAAGAAAGGUGGCCAGGAAGGGCCUCUACAGGCAUAAAACUAUAUUCUUUCAUCAUUUCCUCCUCUGACCAAGAGAAAGGUUCACAAAAUGAAGAAACCUUGUAAAUUAUAUCAAAAUUAUAGGUUUGACUAGAAGAGCUUAGCUGCCGAAAGAUCCGAUGAGCCGGUAGAAGCCUCAAUUGCGAAUAAAGGGAACGGAGAAGUAUGGUUGACUUCUUAUAUGUCUUCUUGCAAGAGGCAGAACUUUCCCCAGUUUGGGGAGCCAUAACCCGUUGGGUGUUAUACUGAACUAUCCACCUUUCCAUAACUGUCUCAAUAGGUGUCCUAUCAGCCAUAGAAGAGUAUAGAUCGUCCACUGAUGAAGAGGUAGUCCCCCGGCGAACAAGUAUUAUGUCAAUUAUCAUGGGGUCCAUUACAUUUCUUUGCCAAAAAUUCAAGUUAUCUAAGGCUGCUGGACGAUCUCCUAGAACUAAAUUGAACCAUUUGUCACUCUUUCUCACCCGAGAACUGGAUUGAAAAUCACCACUACGAUCAUGCGGAUGAAGAGAAGGAAUUCUAGAGUCCAAAAUAAUAUGCAAGCUCUUCAACAGAAACUGGGAAAUAAUUUGUUCCAAUCUUCCAGAUUCGGGAUGAGAAUUGUUGUGCAAAUCCAUUGUUCUAAUACAGAGAAGACCUCUGAAGCUACAAAUUCUGAUCCAUUACAUGAUGAUCAAUCCAGCACAGACAAAGCUGCUCUCUUCCUUAGGUUAGUCAUAAGCCAAGUGAUGAAUUUUGAAAGAUUCUUUGGAUGAAAAAGCAACUAUAGAUAUGGCAGGAUAAUAAAAAAGCCAAGGCAUAAACAGGCAAAUAACAGAAGGUCCUUUUAAUCAAUCUCGGAAAUGGGGAUCGUGUAGCCGCAGAAUCCUUGAAAGAGGCAGCCCCAAAGUAAAAUCAAAAUUAGAGACCAAAAUAAACAAUUUCCAGAUCGAGAAAUCAAAGCUUGAUAGGCAUUAGAUGAUCUAAAACCCAGAACCUGAAUUAGAAAAGAAGAAACGAUGAAGCUACUGAAUUCAGGGGUUUGCAAUUGCAAGCCAAGCGAAAGAGAGACGUAAAAGGAUUAAACACAUCAUCAACUCCAGCUAAAGUAUAGCGUGGAGGACAAAGCGACUCUAAUUUCUUGUGCAUCAGUAGAACGAAUUCCGUCCAGUUUUAGCAUCAAAAGAUAACAACAAAAAAAGCUGCUCCACUCUUCCAUUGAUCUCAUACCCAAAACUUCCUCUCUCUCUCUCUGCCCCCUAUAAUGUAUGAUUACUCGGUAAUAAAUAUUUUAGACUCUCAUAUCAGCAAUCGAUCAUCGUUUUUGUUGUAUUUUUGUCUACCGGCCAUUGAGUUAGGCCUUAUAUCUUUGCCCACACAGUAAAAUAACAAGUUUUCUUUCUUAGGUAGGCGAAAUGAGAAGAAAUUGAAGAGGAGAAAG
Molecule: unclassified non-coding RNA, 3355 nt
Filed under: Hevea brasiliensis (rubber tree)
Lineage: Eukaryota; Viridiplantae; Streptophyta; Magnoliopsida; Malpighiales; Euphorbiaceae
Source: RNAcentral